Molecule: small nuclear RNA, 154 nt
Filed under: Macleaya cordata
Lineage: Eukaryota; Viridiplantae; Streptophyta; Magnoliopsida; Ranunculales; Papaveraceae
Description: U1 spliceosomal RNA
Rfam family: U1 spliceosomal RNA
About the family: U1 is a small nuclear RNA (snRNA) component of the spliceosome (involved in pre-mRNA splicing).
Source: Rfam by way of RNAcentral
AUUCUUACCUGGACGGGGUCAAUGGAUGAUCAAGAAGGUCCAUGGCUUAGGUUAACGACCUCCAUUGCACUUUGGAGGGGCGUUCGCCUAAGAUCUCCGUAAUGUGGGGACCUAGUUAGUUGUGUUGGAGCUUAUGUUUGUUCAGGAGUGGUUU